UGCUGCUCACUGUGGUGGUGACUGUCUCCUUUGUGGUGCUCAGUGGUGUGGUGGUGGCUGUGCUCACUGUGGUGGUGGCCGUCUCCUGUGUGGUGCUCAGUGGUGUGGUGGUGGCUGUGCUCGGUGUGGUGGUGGCCGUCUCCUGUGUGGUGCUCAGUGGUGUUGUGGCCGUGCUCAGUGUGGUGGUGGCCGUCUCCUGUGUGGUGCUCAGUGGUGUGGUGGUGGCUGUGCUCAGUGUGGUGGUGGCCGUCUCCUCUGUGGUGCUCAGUGGUGUUGUGGCCGUGCUCAGUGUGGUGGUGGCUGUCUUCAGUGUGGUGCUCAGUGGUGUGGGGGUGGCAGUGCUUAGUGUGGAAGUGGCCGUCUCCUGUGUGCUGCUCACUGUGGUGGUGACUGUCUCCUUUGUGGUGCUCAGUGGUGUGGUGGUGGCUGUGCUCAGUGUGGUGGUGGCCGUCUCCUGUGUGGUGCUCAGUGGUGUGGUGGUGGCUGUGCUCAGUGUGGUGGUGGCCGUCUCCUGUGUGGUGCUCAGUGGUGUUGUGGCCGUGCUCAGUGUGGUGGUGGCCGUCUCCUGUGUGGUGCUCAGUGGUGUGGUGGUGGCUGUGCUCAGUGUGGUGGUGGCCGUCUCCUGUGUGGUGCUCAGUGGUGUGGUGGUGGCUGUGCUCAGUGUGGUGGUGGCCGUCUCCUCUGUGGUGCUCAGUGGUGUUGUGGCCGUGCUCAGUGUGGUGGUGGCCGUCUUCUGUGUGGUGCUCAGUGGUGUGGUGGUGGCUGUCUCCUGUGUGGUGCUCAGUGGUGUGGUGGUGGCUGUGCUCAGUGUGGUGGUGGCCGUCUCCUCUGUGGUGCUCAGUGGUGUUGUGGCCGUGCUCAGUGUGGUAGUGGCUGUCUUCAGUGUGGUGCUCAGUGGUGUGGUGGUGGCUGUGCUCAGUGUGGAAGUGGCCGUCACCUGUGUGCUGCUCACUGUGGUGGUGAGAGUCUCCUGUGUGGUGCUCAGUUGUGUGGUGGCUGUGCUCACUGUGGUGGUGGUCGGCUUCUGUGUGGUGCUCAGUAGUUUGCUGGUGGCCGUGCUCAGUGUGGUGGUGGCCGUCUCCUGUGUGGUGCUCAGUGGUGUGGUGGUGGCUGUGCUCACUCUGGUGGUGGCCGUCUCCUGUGUGGUGCUCAGUGGUGUGGUGGUGGCUGUGCUCAGUGUGGUGGUGGCCGUCUCCUCUGUGGUGCUCAGUGGUGUGGUGGUAGCUGUGCUCAGUGUGGUGGUGGCCGUCUCCUGUGUGGUGCUCAAUGGUGUGGUGGUGGCCGUGCUCACUCUGGUGGUGGCCGUCUCCUGUGUGGUGCUCAUUGGUGUGGUGGUGGCCGUGUUCACUCUGGUGGUGGCCGUCUCCUCUGUGGUGCUCAGUGGUGUGGUGGUGGCUGUGCUCAGUGUGGUGGUGGCUGUCUCCUCUGUGGUGCUUAGUGGUGUUGUGGCCAUGCUCAGUGUGGUGGUGGCUGUCUUCAGUGUGGUGCUCAGUGGUGUGUUGGUGGCAGUGCUCAGUGUGGAAGUGGCCGCCUCCUGUGUGCUGCUCACUGUGGUGGUGACUGUCUCCUUUGUGGUGCUCAGUGGUGUGGUGGUGGCUGUGCUCACUGUGGUGGUGGACGGCUUCUGUGUGGUGCUCAGUGGUUUGGUGGUGGCUGUGCUCAGUGUGGUGGUGGUCGUCUCCUGUGUGGUGCUCAGUGGUGUGGUGGUGGCCGUGCUCACUCUGGUGGUGGCCGUCUCCUGUGUGGUGCUCAGUGGUGUGGUGGUGGCUGUGCUCAGUGUGGUGGUGGCCGUCUCCUCUGUGGUGCUUAGUGGUGUUGUGGCCGUGCUCAGUGUGGUGGUGGCUGUCUUCAGUGUGGUGCUCAGUGGUGUGGGGGUGGCAGUGCUUAGUGUGGAAGUGGCCGUCUCCUGUGUGCUGCUCACUGUGGUGGUGACUGUCUCCUUUGUGGUGCUCAGUGGUGUGGUGGUGGCUGUGCUCACUGUGGUGGUGGCCGACUCCUGUGUGGUGCUCAGUGGUGUGGUGGUGGCUGUGCUCAGUGUGGUGGUGGCCGUCUCCUGUGUGGUGCUCAGUGGUGUGGUGGUGGCCGUGCUCACUCUGGUGGUGGCCGUCUCCUGUGUGGUGCUCAGUGGUGUGGUGGUGGCUGUGCUCAGUGUGGUGGUGGCCGUCUCCUCUGUGGUGCUUAGUGGUGUUGUGGCCGUGCUCAGUGUGGUGGUGGCCGUCUUCAGUGUGGUGCUCAGUGGUGUGGUGGUGACUGUGCCCAGUGUGGUGGUGGCCGUCUCCUCUGUGGUGCUCAGUGGUGUUGUGGCCGUGCUCAGUGUGGUGGUGGCUGUCUUCAGUGUGGUGCUCAGUGGUGUGGUGGUGGCUGUGCUCAUGGUGGAAGUGGCCGUCUCCUGUGUGCUGCUCACUGUGGUGGUGACUGUCUCCUGUGUGGUGCUCAGUGGUGUGGUGGUGGCUGUGCUCACUAUGGUGGUGGCCGGCUUCUGUGUGGUGCUCAGUAGUUUGCUGGUGGCCAUUCUCAGUGUGGUGGUAGCCGUCUCCUGUGUGGUGCUCAGUGGUGUGGUGGUGGCCGUGCUCACUCUGGUGGUGGCUGUCUCCUGUGUGGUGCUCAGUGGUGUGGUGGUGGCUGUGCUCAGUGUGGUGGUGGCCGUCUCCUGUGUGGUGCUCAGUGGUGUUGUGGCCAUGCUCAGUGUGGUGGUGGCUGUCUUCAGUGUGGUGCUCAGUGGUGUGGUGGUGGCCGUGCUCAGUGUGGAAGUGGCCGUCUCCUGUGUGCUGCUCACUGUGGUGGUGACUGUCUCCUGUGUGGUGCUCAGUGGUGUGGUGGUGGCUGUGCUCACUGUAGUGGUGGCUUGCUUCUGUGUGGUGCUCAGUAGUUUGCUGGUGGCCGUGCUCAGUGUGGUGGUGGCCGUCUCCUGUGUGGUGCUCAGUGGUGUGGUGGUGGCUGUACUCACCGUGGUGGUGGUCGGCUUCCGUGUGGUGCUCAGUGGUGUGGUGGUGGCCGUGCUCACUCUGGUGGUGGCCGUCUCCUGUGUGGUGGUCAGUGGUGUGGUGGUGGCCGUGCUCACUCUGGUAGUAGCCGUCUCCUGUGUGGUGCUCAGUGGUGUGGUGGUGGCAGUGCUCAUUGUCGAAGUGGCCGUCUCCUGUGUGCUGCUCACUGUGGUGGUGACUGUCUCCUUUGUGGUGCUCAGUGGUGUGGUGGUGGCUGUGCUCAGUGUGGUGGUGGCCGUCUCCUGUGUGGUGCUCAGUGGUGUUGUGGCCGUGCUCAGUGUGGUGGUGGCCGUCUCCUGUGUGGUGCUCAGUGGUGUGGUGGUGGCUGUGCUCAGUGUGGUGGUGGCCGUCUCCUGUGUGCUGCUCACUGUGGUGGUGACUGUCUCCUUUGUGGUGCUCAGUGGUGUGGUGGUGGCUGUGCUCACUGUGGUGGUGGCUGUCUCCUGUGUGGUGCUCAGUGGUGUGGUGGUGGCUGUGCUCAGUGUGGUGGUGGCUGUCUCCUCUGUGGUGCUUAGUGGUGUUGUGGCCGUGCUCAGUGUGGUGGUGGCUGUCUUCAGUGUGGUGCUCAGUGGUGUGGUGGUGGCUGUGCUCAGUGUGGUGGUGGCCGUCUCCUGUGUGCUGCUCACUGUGGUGGUGACUGUCUCCUUUGUGGUGCUCAGUGGUGUGGUGGUGGCUGUGCUCACUCUGGUGGUGGCCGUCUCCUGUGUGGUGCUCAGUGGUGUGGUGGUGGCCGUGUUCACUCUGGUGGUGGCCGUCUCCUCUGUUGUGCUCAGUGGUGUGGUGGUGGCUGUGCUCAGUGUGGUGGUGGCUGUCUCCUCUGUGGUGCUUAGUGGUGUUGUGGCCGUGCUCAGUGUGGUGGUGGCUGUCUUCAGUGUGGUGCUCAGUGGUGUGGUGGUGGCAGUGCUCAGUGUGGAAGUGGCCGUCUCCUGUGUGCUGCUCACUGUGGUGGUGACUGUCUCCUUUGUGGUGCUCAGUGGUGUGGUGGUGGCUGUGCUCACUGUGGUGGUGGCCGACUCCUGUGUGGUGCUCAGUGGUGUGGUGGUGGCUGUGCUCAGUGUGGUGGUGGCCGUCUCCUGUGUGGUGCUCAGUGGUGUGGUGGUGGCCGUGCUCACUCUGGUGGUGGCCGUCUCCUGUGUGGUGCUCAGUGGUGUGGUGGUGGCUGUGCUCAGUGUGGUGGUGGCCGUCUCCUCUGUGGUGCUCAGCGGUCUUGUGGCCGUGCUCAGUGUGGUGGUGGCUGUCUUCAGUGUGGUGCUCAGUGGUGUGGUGGUGGCUGUGCUCAGUGUGGAAGUGGCCGUCUCCUGUGUGCUGCUCACUGUGGUGGUGACUGUCUCCUUUGUGGUGCUCAGUGGUGUGGUGGUGGCUGUGCUCACUGUGGUGGUGGACGGCUUCUGUGUGGUGCUCAGUGGUUUGGUGGUGGCUGUGCUCAGUGUGGUGGUGGCCGUCUCCUGUGUGGUGCUCAGUGGUGUGGUGGUGGCCGUGCUCACUCUGGUGGUGGCCGUCUCCUGUGUGGUGCUCAGUGGUUUGGUGGUGGCUGUGCUCAGUGUGGUGGUGGCUGUCUCCUCUGUGGUGCUCAGUGGUGUUGUGGCCGUGCUCAGUGUGGUGGUGGCUGUCUUCAGUGUGGUGCUCAGUGGUGUGGUGGUGGCUGUGCUCAUGGUGGAAGUGGCCGUCUCCUGUGUGCUGCUCACUGUGGUGGUGACUGUCUCCUGUGUGGUGCUCAGUGGUGUGGUGGUGGCUGUGCUCACUGUGGUGGUGGCCGGCUUCUGUGUGGUGCUCAGUAGUUUGCUGGUGGCCGUUCUCAGUGUGGUGGUAGCCGUCUCCUGUGUGGUGCUCAGUGGUGUGGUGGUGGCCGUGCUCACUCUGGUGGUGGCUGUCUCCUGUGUGGUGCUCAGUGGUGUGGUGGUGGCUGUGCUCAGUGUGGUGGUGGCCGUCUCCUCUGUGGUGCUCAGUGGUGUUGUGGCCAUGCUCAGUGUGGUGGUGGCUGUCUUCAGUGUGGUGCUCAGUGGUGUGGUGGUGGCCGUGCUCAGUGUGGAAGUGGCCGUCUCCUGUGUGCUGCUCACUGUGGUGGUGACUGUCUCCUGUGUGGUGCUCAGUGGUGUGGUGGUGGCUGUGCUCACUGUAGUGGUGGCUUGCUUCUGUGUGGUGCUCAGUAGUUUGCUGGUGGCUGUGCUCAGUGUGGUGGUGGCCGUCUCCUGUGUGGUGCUCAGUGGUGUGGUGGUGGCUGUACUCACUGUGGUGGUGGUCGGCUUCCGUGUGGUGCUCAGUGGUGUGGUGGUGGCCGUGCUCACUCUGGUGGUGGCCGUCUCCUGUGUGGUGGUCAGUGGUGUGGUGGUGGCCGUGCUCACUCUGGUAGUAGCCGUCUCCUGUGUGGUGCUCAGUGGUUUGGUGGUGGCUGUGCUCAGUGUGGAAGUGGCCGUCUCCUGUGUGCUGCUCACUGUGGUGGUGACUGUCUCCUGUGUGGUGCUCAGUGGUGUGGUGGUGGCUGUUCUCACUGUGGUGUUGGCCGGCUUCUGUGUGGUGCUCAGUAGUUUGCUGGUGGCCGUUCUCAGUGUGGUGGUGGCCGUCUCCUGUGUGGUGCUCAGUGGUGUGGUGGUGGCUGUGCUCACUCUGGUGGUGGCUGUCUCCUCUGUGGUGCUCAGUGGUGUUGUGGCCGUGCUCAGUGUGGUGGUGACCAUCUCCUGUGUGGUGUUCAAUGGUGUGGUGGUGGCCGUGCUCACUGUGGUGGUUGCUGUCUUCUGUGUGGUGCUCAGUGGCGUGGUUGUGACCAUUCUCAGUGUGGUGGUGGCCGUCUCCUGUGUGGUGCUCACUGUGGUGGUAGCCGUCUCCUGUGUGGUGCUCAGUGUGGUGGUAGCUGUCUCCUGUGUGGUGCUCAGUGGUGUGGUGGCUGUGCUCUGUGUGGUGGUGGCUGUCUUCUGUGUGGUGCUCAGUGGUGUGGUGGCUGGCCUCAGUGUGGUGGUGGCUGUCUCCUGUGUGGUGGUCAGUGGUGUGGUGGCCGUGCUCACUGUGGUGGUAGCUGUCCCCUGUGUGUUACUGGCCGUAAUCAGUGUGGUGGCCAUUGGGGUGUUGGUGCGCAGGCUCUUGCAGUGGCUGAUGUCAUCACAGCACAGAACGCGGAUCCUGUAGUUGUAGCACAUGUGGAACACUCCCUCCUGUUCCUGGUUGUGGCACACGAGGCCGAAGCUGAGGUUGCAGUGCACGUGCUGUCCUAGCUCCUCGGGGGUCUUUGAGGGGUAGUUCUGGGCCCGGCACUCGAUGUCCUCAGGCUGUGGGCAGAGGGCUCCCCCCGCAGCUCUGAUCCUUUCGUAGGUCUCCAUGUCUCCCCCGGCCCUCUCAGAUUUGGGGUAGUCCACGUCGAACCACUCUGUCCACUGGCAUUGGGGCCGGCAGGUAGAGGUACUGGGGGCAAGGGUGCUACUGACCCAGUCAGUUUUGGGUGUGGCUGAUGAGCGGGACCUGGUCUGUAGGGUAAGCUCUGUGGUCAACAGAGAGCUGAGUGCCGUGGAUGUGGUGAUCCCUCUGCUGGAUGAGGUCAGGGUGGGGCUGGACAGGGCCCAGGGAGUGGUGAGUGUUGUUGUGGAGGUAGGGGGAGCUGGGGAGGAGCUGCAGGGCACAGGAUCACAGCACAGGACCCGCAGCUGGUAGUUGUGGCAGAGUGGGGGGCUCUGCUCACUGUUGAGGCAGAUCAGACCCUUGGCUGGAUCACAGUCCACCUUCUGGCCCAGCUCUUGCAGGGGUGACCCUGGGAACUGCUCCGCACGGCACUCGAUGGCAGCAGGUGCCAGGCACAGUGGGUACCCCUGCUCCCUCAGUCUGGUGAGCAUCUCGAAGUCCCCACCUCCCAUGCCGGGCUCUGGGUGGUCCCCAUCGAGCCAGGGGGACCAGCGGCAGACCUUUCGGACACACACGGUAGAGGCGGUGGGAACGGAGCCUGCAGAGGG
Molecule: long non-coding RNA, 6919 nt
Organism: Heterocephalus glaber (naked mole-rat)
Lineage: Eukaryota; Metazoa; Chordata; Mammalia; Rodentia; Bathyergidae
Source: Ensembl